RNAcentral lists this ribosomal RNA (486 nucleotides) under uncultured bacterium. Its description in RNAcentral is "partial 16S ribosomal RNA". It matches the Rfam family "Bacterial small subunit ribosomal RNA", at positions 29 to 507 of the family's 1533-position model. The record is from RNAcentral.
AGUGAACGCUGGCGGCAUGCCUUACACAUGCAAGUCGAACGGCAGCACGGUUACUUCCUCCUGGUGCCGAUUGGCGAACGGGUGAGUAAUACAUCGGCACAGGUCCUUUAGUUGUGGAUGGCGCUGCGAAAGCCGGAUUUAUACUGCAAACGAUUCACACAUGAAAGCGGGGGCACGUCAUCUUCCGCGCUUUCGGGUUGGCCGAUGCCGGAUUAGCUAGUUGGUGGGGUAAAGGCCUACCAAGGCGACGAUCAGUAGCUGGUCUGAGAGGAUGACCAGCCACACUGGAACUGAGACACGGCCCAGACUCCUACGGGAGGCAGCAGUGGGGAAUUUUGGACAAUGGGCGAAAGCCUGAUCCAGCAAUGCCGCGUGUGUGAAGAAGGCCUUCGGGUUGUAAAGCACUUUUGUCCGGAAAGAAAUGCUUGAGUUUAAUACAGCGGGGGGCUGACGGUACCGAAAGAAUAAGCACCGGCUAACUACGUG